UUGUUAUCCAUGCGGUUUCUGAUAGAUCAGAAUCAAUCUUCGUUCAAAUUUUCCAGAAACAAUCAGCCAAACUUUAGCAUCUUCUCUGAGAUCUUUAUUUAUUCCAAUUGAAUAAAAAGAGGGUUUUUUAGACCCUUUGCCGUCAUAAAACAUGCGAAGGAAAACCCUAGCCGAAGGAAUCGCAUUUGAACAGAAAGCCAUCAACCC
This 207-nucleotide long non-coding RNA is filed under the name Mytilus galloprovincialis (Mediterranean mussel). The record is from RNAcentral. Lineage: Eukaryota; Metazoa; Mollusca; Bivalvia; Mytilida; Mytilidae.